Molecule: ribosomal RNA, 496 nt
Filed under: uncultured bacterium
Lineage: Bacteria
Description: partial 16S ribosomal RNA
Rfam family: Bacterial small subunit ribosomal RNA
Source: RNAcentral
AUGAACGCUGGCGGCGUGCCUAAUACAUGCAAGUCGAGCGAACAGAUGAGGAGCUUGCUCCUCUGACGUUAGCGGCGGACGGGUGAGUAACACGUGGAUAACCUACCUAUAAGACUGGGAUAACUUCGGGAAACCGGAGCUAAUACCGGAUAAUAUAUUGAACCGCAUGGUUCAAUAGUGAAAGACGGUUUUGCUGUCACUUAUAGCUGGAUCCGCGCCGCAUUAGCUAGUUGGUAAGGUAACGGCUUACCAAGGCAACGAUGCGUAGCCGACCUGAGAGGGUGAUCGGCCACACUGGAACUGAGACACGGUCCAGACUCCUACGGGAGGCAGCAGUAGGGAAUCUUCCGCAAUGGGCGAAAGCCUGACGGAGCAACGCCGCGUGAGUGAUGAAGGUCUUCGGAUCGUAAAACUCUGUUAUUAGGGAAGAACAAAUGUGUAAGUAACUAUGCACGUCUUGACGGUACCUAAUCAGAAAGCCACGGCUAACUACGUG